RNAcentral lists this ribosomal RNA (597 nucleotides) under Papiliotrema laurentii. RNAcentral describes it as "eukaryotic LSU rRNA". It matches the Rfam family "Eukaryotic large subunit ribosomal RNA", at positions 62 to 648 of the family's 3401-position model. The record is from RNAcentral. Lineage: Eukaryota; Fungi; Basidiomycota; Tremellomycetes; Tremellales; Rhynchogastremaceae.
AAACUAACAUGGAUUCCCCUAGUAACGGCGAGUGAACCGGGAAGAGCUCAAAUUUGAAAUCUGGCGUCCUCAGGGCGUCCGAGUUGUAAUCUAUAGAGGCGUUUUCCGUGCCGGACCGUGUCCAAGUUCCUUGGAACAGGAUAUCAAAGAGGGUGACAAUCCCGUACUUGACACGACGACCGGUGCUCUGUGAUACGUCUUCUACGAGUCGAGUUGUUUGGGAAUGCAGCUCAAAAUGGGUGGUGAGUUCCAUCUAAAGCUAAAUAUUGGCGAGAGACCGAUAGCGAACAAGUACCGUGAGGGAAAGAUGAAAAGCACUUUGGAAAGAGAGUUAAACAGUACGUGAAAUUGUUGAAAGGGAAACGAUUGAAGUCAGUCGUGACCGAGAGGCUCAGCCGGUUCUGCCGGUGUAUUCCCCUCGGUCGGGUCAACAUCAGUUUUGUCCGGUGGAUAAGGGCGGUAGGAAGGUGGCACCCUCGGGUGUGUUAUAGCCUGCCGUCGCAUACAUCGGGUGAGACUGAGGAACGCAGCUCGCCUUUAUGGCCGGGGUUCGCCCACGUCCGAGCUUAGGAUGUUGACAUAAUGGCUUUAAACGAC